GGUAUUGCCAUUGAAGAAGAGACCCACACAUGAGAGUGUGCUAGAAAGAGUAGUUAUUACUUGCUCAAAAUGUUUAGGUAGUAUAAAAGUGAUAUCCAAUAUGACUAAUAUAAAAAUAGUAAAUAUGGUAUGGUAUACAUAGGAAUACACAAAAUAAUGUAUAUAAAGAAAGAAAAAAGUAGCUUGCAAACAUUGAAAAUAG
RNAcentral lists this non-coding RNA (202 nucleotides) under Saccharomyces arboricola H-6. RNAcentral's name for it is "RNA of unknown function 20". It matches the Rfam family "RNA of unknown function 20", at positions 236 to 425 of the family's 425-position model. Lineage: Eukaryota; Fungi; Ascomycota; Saccharomycetes; Saccharomycetales; Saccharomycetaceae. The record is from Rfam by way of RNAcentral.